AAUAAUCUCAUUUUUCGUUUUCCAUGUUCAACAUUUAACCAUUUGUUUUAUUUAAAAAAAUUUUACAAUUAUUAUUAUUAUUAUUACUAUGUGAUAAAAUAUGAAUAGUACUUUAUACAUGAGUAAUCUUUUUAGGUUUUUAUACAAUUUUUUCAAAUAAAACGAAUGGUCAACGUUGGACACGGAAAAAGAAAAAUGGGAUUAUU
This is a non-coding RNA of Oryza brachyantha (malo sina), 206 nucleotides long. The record is from Rfam. Lineage: Eukaryota; Viridiplantae; Streptophyta; Magnoliopsida; Poales; Poaceae.